CGCCGGCUUCUUCCGGCUUCAUUCUUUCCUCCACAGAUGAAGGCGCUUUGAAGGCCACGUGCUCAGCACACAGACGGGAGCAAAGCAGACCUUGAUUUCCUGCAGGAAACUAGGGACGGGGUGCCAGACAGACGCAGCGUCUUGACUGGAGCGGUCAACGAGAGGAUGAAGAGAAUUGGAGGAUUUUAGGUCCAUUUGGGAAAUCAGCAGGCUGUGGACGUCCCCCGGAUCCUGGGGAGCAGGCGAGAGAGGGCCGUGUCAAGAGAACCGCUGAGAUUCACGGCUGGGACAGCGGGAACUCAGGACACGGACAAGGACCCAGCGCGGCCCUGCUCCAGCCAGGACGCCCUCAGCGCACAGCACAAGUAGGUCUGCCUUCCGGGCCUCCCUCUGCAGCCCGACUGACGCAGCAGCGGACAGCCCGCCCCGCGUGGGUUCACUGGGGACCCUGUUGGAGCAGCAGCCUGGGGGACGCGUCGCCGAGGACAGGCCUGGCUCUGGCGAUCACCGCAGGUGUCGGCGGGAGCGUCUGCACCCCUGCAUGGAGGGGCUCCCUGGAAGUGCCCAGGCCGCACUGGGGCCCACACAGGGCCCUCUGCAACCCGCUCGGCUCAGGCCAGAGUCAGCAGAGCCCCGGGUGGCCUGUCCCCGUCAUCCCCGUGCACCUGCCUGCACCUGUCCCGUGUCCGUGCACCUGGGAUGUGCAGCCAGCGGCCUCCAAAGUGUCUACACCAUUUGCACGUUCCCUAGAACGAAAGGUCUUCAGCUCCAACGGCACCUACUGGGAGGGGUCUUCCUGGGUGCCCAGCGCAGUCCCCCCCACGUUCCCCUGCAGCCGCCACAGGGGCCGGCUUCUGUGCUUCCUCUGCAGGCCCCACACCGAGGGCUGGUCCUGUGUACACACUUACCUACCAGCUUGUCUGUGGUUAGACACACACACACACACACACUCACUCACACACCCCACUACAUACAGCACAUGUGCACACCCCAUACCACACACCCCACCUGCUGCAGACACACCCCAUCCUCAUGAGUGUAAGCUCAUGCAUGCGGGGACUUUCGCUCACGUUGUACGCUGACGUAGAGCUGCUCACUCCGUGCAGAGCUCAGCCCAGGACAAAGGCGGCCCUGGGCGGGCACGGCUGAAUGACUCUGUGAGUGUGUGCGUGAGGGGGGGGGGGUCACCCCUGUCAGGUGGAAGCUGGACCUGGGUCCGAUCCCGGCUCCAUGACUUAGCAGCCGCCCUGACAGGGACGAUACCGCGAUCUGACAUCAGUGUGCAGGGCGGGGUGGGGGGGGAGAGGCCUGCCCAUCUCACCACCCCGCGGACCCCGCCACGGUGGGCCAGCCCCCUCUGUCCAGCCCACGGGCACACGUCACCACCGGCUGAAAGAAUUCCUCUGGCAAGACCUGACCUGCCGGGAGCAAGUAAGCCCCGAGGCCUCACGGCAGAGACUCUGUGACCGUGACCGUGAGCGUUUGCCAAGGCCCUGAGUGCCCCCCGCGGAGGGACGGGUAGCUACGUGGCGGUGUGUGCGUGUUGUAAACACGUUCAAGAGGAGUGGAGCCCACGUCUGGUCCGUGAGGAAACAAGACAGAGGCCGCAUGAGCCGCGGCACCGGACCGACGGGUGCUUGUGUUUCCAUCAUGGGACAGUGCUGGGUGAGGAGGGUCCAUCUCUGCAGCCCGCGCUCUGGUCCCGCUCAGCCCUCCCUCCGCGGGGCAGCCCCUCCACCCUCCGCGUCUGCCCUGCGGUGGCAGCGGGGGGGCACGCGGUCUGUGUGGCGCUCGGGAUGGGCCUGGCCCGCGGCCCGGUCGGCUCUUCCCGCUAAGUUUUCAGGCACAAAAGAAGGGUCCAGAAGGAAUCACACAGGAAAAAAAAAUACUGAAAAAAAAGAAAAGAAAAAGGUAAUAAUGGUUUUAGUUCGAGUGACCGGAUUAGGAUUAUUUUCUUUUAACUCUUGUCUCUUUCCUAUAGCGUGUGCACGAGAUGCUCUCGGAGGCACGAAUCCCGCUUCAAGUGGAAGUGAAGUGCCCCAGAGCUGGCGGCCGGGCCCAGAUUGCUCCGGGAGCGCGGACAGACGGGUGGGCCGGCGGCCAGGAGAGCCCACAUCCCGCCUCUCCGGAUCGACCCACUUGGAGCCACUUCCUCCCCGUCUAGAGCGGGUUGCAGCCGACACCAGUCUCGCCAGAUUCUCCAACACCUUUCCGGAACACGCCGCCUGCUCGGCAGCGUGGGGACCACGGGGAAGCGGCUGGUUCGCAGCCUCACACGCUCUACAUUCCUCUGGUAGCUUAAGCCAAGCAAGAUCGCCUUCCCCGGACGGUGUCCUGAUCGCGCUCCUUGAGACCCGCGCCCAGCCAGUGAUUCCCUCAUCAGGGUCACAGGUGUCCGCCCGGCACCUCCCCCCGCCGCGGCCUGCGGCCUUGGGACACACCAAUGGGACCCUGCCGGCCUCUCCGGUCUGAGGAAGGGGCGACGGGGAGGCCCGGGCACGGCUGCAGGUGUGCCCAGGGCAUCCUGGACACGGCAGCCCGCUGAGCAGGUGUUUGCAGUGCCCAUGCCUUCGGGUGCGACUGGGACGGAGUCACACACGGUCCGGCGCCCCUCCUAGGUGCCAGCCUCAGAGAAAGACACCGUGGGCUAUUUUUAAAUGUGAAAGACGGGGCCCUUCCUUCGAGGAGCUGCUGGUGGUCGUCAGUGCCGAGCGUGAGUGCAGCAAGGCGUCCUUGCCCGAUACGACGAGAGCCCCACGGGCCCCCAGAGGUUCCUCCGCCCUCGAGGUCCGGGAGGCCUGGAGCCAGACCCCACCACUCGGCCUGGGAGCACUCGCUCGGUGUUCGUCCGUGGCGACACUCUGUGCAUGGCAGGUUACGGGGAUCCCCGCCCUGCCAGCUGAGCAUUCGGCCCAUCACCCCGUGAGGCCCCAGAGUUAGGGACUGGGGGGCCCUGACGUGAACCACUUUCUCCGUCUGCUCCAGAGAUGGGGGGAGGGCCGCCAGCCAGCAAGCAGGGGGUCAGAGCAGAGGUGGGACUUAGCUCGGGCUUCGGAGAGGGGGGCUGGAGCAUGGCGGGCUGGACAAGGCGGGGAAGGCAUCCCGGGAGGUGGGUGGUUACAGCACCAGCAGGGCUCGCUUCCUCCAAUCCCCUGCCGCCCCCCCCAAGCCCACAGGCCAUCCCCUUGUCCCCCCUGGAUUCAGGGAGGGACUUCUGGAGGCGACAGGUCCUGGAGUCUUGGAGCAGACUCACCUAUGAACCAGAGGAGCCCCUGCCAUCACCCCUCCACGCCUGGAUGCCCCCAGACCUGCAGCCGAGCGCAUACCCCCACCACCACCCAUGGGGCCCUGCUGAGCUCAGGAGAGGGGUCGGCAGAGGCGGAGGAGCGCCAUCGGGUGGGGGGCUCACGGCCCAGGUGUAGUAUUAAGUCAGAGGUCAGCAGAGAAUGAUGCACAGGACGUGGGACCCGGUGGGGCCGCGCCCGUAUAUGGGCCGAGCUGCAGACCGUCCCUUGCCCAGCGCCUGGGGCGGGCCCGGGCCCAGAUUCCCCAGUGGUAACUGUGUGCUUGUGUUUUUCAGAACAAGGAUCUGAAGCAGGAACAGCAAAAAGCACACGUACGUUAAGCGCCCUGAGUGACGCCAGGUGGCUUCUUAAUCACCACUGUGCAUUUCUUAAGCCCCUAACGAGAAAGGUCCGGAAGGCUGUUUCUUGAGGCUCCCGGGACCCCAAGGCAGGGCACAGGGGCCGGGCGUGGGCGGGGCGGGCGCAGAGCACAGAGCAGGUGAGCCUAAAGUCUGCGACGCGGGGGCUAGACGGCGAGGAAGGUGGCCUCAGGCGGCAGACGGGGACGUGUCUGGGACUGUGGGGCCUUCUCACGAGGCACAGCUGCCUCACGAGGAAGGUGCUGGCUCUCGGCCGGCGUCUCUCCUGGCCCACGGCUCUGACGGUCCCAGUGCAUGUGGCUCCGCAGCAGGGGAGGGGAGGCAGGUGUCAGAGGGAGAGGAAGAAAGGGGCCAUGUGUGCCCAGGGACCCCUGGCCUGACCUGCCCACCCAGGAUGUGGGAGCAGGACAUCCCUGACCAGCUGUCCAGCAGCCGGUGUGGCAGAGGGGGGCCGGCCAGGGAGCGAGGCAGAGACCCAGGUGCUCUGUCCCUGUGACCUUGCCCCGCAGUGCCCACACCCUCGUCAGGCAGGCUCAUGCCCCACGCUCUCAGCGCCUCUGGGCCCUGCCACGUCCUCCUCGCCUGGAGGACCAGAGAAGGCCCUGGGCACGUGCUGGCCCGACAGCCCUCUUUGGGGAGGCCACGCGCCUGGCGUGGAAAAGCCGGAACAAGGAGCUGGCUGCAGGUGGCAGGGAGAAGGGACAGAUGUCAGGGUCCAGAAAGGACCUGGAGGAGACCGGGGUGGGCAGAAUUGUCCUUGGGGGGCUUCUGAGUUUUUCUCCCCUCCUGAGUGGUCUGUCCAGGAUGCUGUGUCGUGGGUCAGAAGGAAGCAUGGGGGCGCAGCGUUUGAGGGGUGUGAAGGACGAGUGGCGAGGGGAGGAGCCCCCUAGGUCAGCCCCGCUGUCUGUCUACAGAAACCUGUCAGCUGGUCGGCACCCACCUGGGGCCGGCACGGGGGGAAGGGCUGAUGUCCUCAGCUGCAUCUGGGAGCCCGAGUGGGGCCCGUGUCUGGGACCUCACCCCUGUCAUCCUAGCUGCAUCCCGGCUGCAGGGGGGAAGCAGAGGCCUGGAGAGGCAGAGCUUCCCCGGCUCUUUCUCCCCGUGCACAGAUAGCUCAGCCAGUUUGGCUCCAGAAGAAGGAAGAAGGGCCAACGUAGGACACAGCCGCCCGCAUGUUCUCCCCGUGUCUCCCGGUGCCCGGCGGGGGCCGUUUGAUGGAGGCCAGUGGGGAGGUGUCACAGACAGACAGACCGCAGCCAUUGCCCGCCCGAGGAUCGGUGGAGUGAUGCACAGAGAGGGUGCGGACCGGUUGCCUGCUCUGCCCCAGACCAUCAGCCUGACUCCCACAGCAAACCUCUGAGCUUGGGAAUAUCAUCCCCAUGCUGCGUGCGAUCUGAGGAGCUCAGAAAGGCUUCUACAGAGCGUAGCACUCACGGGCACAGAUGCUCAGCAGAGGGACGCAGGACAGAAGAAGGCCACCCAGUGUGUUACUGGGUUCCCAAGGACUGUGACCAGACAACAGGGGUUGCUGUGUCUCCCUCCCCCAGUCCAGGAGGAGGCCUGGAGAGGAAGAGGAGGGGGGAGGGGGGAGGAG
Felis catus (domestic cat) is the source of this 5258-nucleotide long non-coding RNA. RefSeq lists it as uncharacterized. Lineage: Eukaryota; Metazoa; Chordata; Mammalia; Carnivora; Felidae. The record is from RefSeq and is a predicted model, not a curated record. The transcript has 6 exons.